GAUGAACGCUGGCGGCGUGCCUAAUACAUGCAAGUCGAGCGAACAGACGAGGAGCUUGCUCCUCUGACGUUAGCGGCGGACGGGUGAGUAACACGUGGAUAACCUACCUAUAAGACUGGGAUAACGGCGGGAAACCGGGGCUAAUACCGGAUAAUAUAUUGAACCGCAUGGUUCAAUAGUGAAAGACGGUUUUGCUGUCACUUAUAGAUGGAUCCGCGCCGCAUUAGCUAGUUGGUAAGGUAACGGCUUACCAAGGCAACGAUGCGUAGCCGACCUGAGAGGGUGAUCGGCCACACUGGAACUGAGACACGGUCCAGACUCCUACGGGAGGCAGCAGUAGGGAAGCUUCCGCAAUGGGCGAAAGCUUGACGGAGCAACGCCGCGUGAGUGAUGAAGGUCUUCGGAUCGUAAAACUCUGUUAUUAGGGAAGAACAAAUGUGUAAGUAACUAUGCACGUCUUGACGGUACCUAAUCAGAAAGCCACGGCUAACUACGUG
RNAcentral lists this ribosomal RNA (497 nucleotides) under uncultured bacterium. Its description in RNAcentral is "partial 16S ribosomal RNA". It matches the Rfam family "Bacterial small subunit ribosomal RNA", at positions 28 to 507 of the family's 1533-position model. The record is from RNAcentral.